GCAGGCGCCGUGGUGCCCUCGUGUGUGGGGGCGGUGGGUGGGCGGUUCCCUUAUCGGAACCAGAGGAUAGGAUAGGACGGCCUGCAGCAGAGAGCUAGUCACAUCGGGCACCAGAUCCUGUCCUGCAACGAAUCCCAGUGCAACGAAAUGCAAAUAAACGAUAGCAUGGCGCCCAAGUAGAACAUUCCACCAGCGCCCGACAGCAAGCCAACAAGCUCCAGCUCCAGCUCCUGUUUCUCUCUCUGAAACUAUUUCCACUUCGAAUCCGAUUGACCCGAAUCCGGUCCGACGCGAGUCCGGAAUGACGGAGCAGAAGAACCAGGUGACGCGCGCUGCGCCGGAGCAGAGCAACGACUACCGGGUGGUGGUCUUCGGAGCCGGCGGCGUGGGCAAGAGCUCGCUGGUGCUGCGCUUCAUUAAGGGCACCUUCCGCGAAAGCUACAUCCCGACCAUCGAGGACACCUACAGACAGGUCAUCAGCUGCAAUAAGAACAUCUGCACGCUGCAAAUCACGGACACCACGGGCUCGCACCAGUUUCCGGCCAUGCAGCGGUUGUCCAUCUCGAAGGGACACGCCUUCAUCCUGGUCUAUUCGGUGUGCUCCAAGCAGAGUCUGGAGGAGCUGCGACCCAUCUGGGCGCUCAUCAAGGAGCUGAAGGGGGCCGACAUACCGAACAUCCCCGUCAUGCUGGUGGGCAACAAGUGUGAUGAGACCGCCGAGUUGCGUGAGGUCUCCCAGGCCGAGGGUCAGGCGCAGGCGACCACCUGGAGCAUAUCGUUCAUGGAGACGUCGGCCAAGACGAACCACAACGUGACCGAGCUCUUCCAGGAGCUGCUCAACAUGGAGAAGACGCGCACCGUUUCCCUGCAGCUGGACACCAAGAAGCAGAAGAAACAGAAGAAGGAGAAGAAGUCCAAGGACACCAACGGCUCGAUUCCGGAGAACGGUGACGCGGGGGCCAGUGCCAGCGGUGGGGCCAAGGAGAAGUGUCUCGUUAUGUAAGCACAUCGGAUGGCGAUGGCAUGUGGCCCUGUGACCAUGUGACCCGGGUCGCAUUGCAUCGAAAGGAGCUCCAGCUGGAGUGACGGAGCAGGAGACGGUGACAGACAAAUACUCGCCUUGGGGCAGCAGCGUGUGGUGGUGGGCGGUGUUGGGUCUCAGCCACCCAACCAUCCAACCACCCAUCCAACCACACGGGCCACGCACCACACACACCCCAGACAACCCACACAACCCAGACAACCCACACAACCACUUACCCACAUGUAGAGUUACAUCCAUAACUUGACACUUGUAUUUAGGAACUGAUGUAAGUCACAAACACGAUUGCAAUUUCGAUUACGAGUAUAUUUUGCAUAGGUUCUAUUCGAGCAGAUCAGAUCUUUCUAGUCGCACAGAGUACACGAUACCAGAUACGAUACGAUACUAAACUAAACACAACAUCAGCAUGGAAGCUAACCCUAAGUUGAGACACACAUAAUCGCAUCUGAAACGUAACGGCAUACAUAUCAAAUGUUUACAUACAUACUUGCAUGAUCCACCACCCAUUCAUAACCAGGUAUAAAACGAAGCUAUACACUAUAUCUCUAACGAAAGCCAAAGUACCUAUUUAAAGACAUAGAAUCUGUAAUGUGUAUCUAUUACGAUAUGAUAACAAUAUUUACAUGGAUCCAUCAACGGAAGACUUCUUGACUCCAUGGUCGCCACAGAGACCAUUGCGGGGCAUCUGGGCAUGAGCACAAUAAGGAUGCCUCCCCUGACUAUCAUUGCUGUUUAACUAUUUACCACCUAACCAGAAUAAUACAGAUUUGGACGAGCCCCGUUCGCCACAUAAGCUAAUGUAUAAAAUACUCAUGGCCAACAACACACACACACAGAGAUCCGGAUCCGGAAACCUAAAACAAACUCGCGAUGGCAUUGUGUUUUUGUAUUAUAUUAAAUGUUAGCAGCAAUACCGAAAAGAAAAGAUAAGGUCAGAUCACAGGAUCACAGAGUUAACCUAAGAAAGAAUCAAUUUCAAGAUCAAGUACAAUUGCAUUCAUCAAGUGAGCCAAGGAACACGUACAUCGAAGGAUAUUUGAAGAGCAUUUUUGCAGUAGCGUAGAUGGGAUAUAAGUUGCCUGUUUUUAAAACACUUAUGUAUCGUACGUACUUAUAGCUUAACUUAAACCAAACCGUUCCCAAUUGUGGUAUUCGUUAUUUUAAUAGUUGGUUGGCUUGUGCAUAGGCGUAGGAGUUGAACAAAUUGUUUCGCAUAGUUUGCUGUUGUUUGAUAUUAAGAGGAUUAGUUUUUUAAAUUUUACCAAUCAGACUAAGUGAAUGAUAUGCUUUAAUCGCUGCUAAACCAAUUAGCCAACAAAGGGGCAAGUAAUUACAUUAAUUAUGAUGUUGCUCAUCCAACUGGUACUGGUAUCUUUGGCUGCUGGUCCGCCGUCCAGCAGUGCCGGACAAAUAAGUAGAACAACCAACACAAAUCAAGAAGUGGAAAUUACACACUAGAUCUAAAAUAAAUUGUUGAAUUCGAGUAGAGAAAUUAUUAAUCAAGAUUAUGAUAGCGGACCAAUUUGCGUAUAAGAUUUGUGAAAUCAAUUUAGAUAAAUUAUCUCGGUUUGCCAUAGACAUGAACGAUUUCAAAUAAGUAUGCCAGCCUUAGUUGAGAUUUAUAGGUAGCCUGCCUGUGCUUUGGGUUCUGCUUCGUGUUUUCCUAGUUUUAGGUACGUUUAAUUGUAGACAGACAGCAAACUGGGUUUUGGCUAUUCAGUAUGUGCCGUAUAUUGGAGUACAUUCUCCAUACAGUACAUUUCACAAAAUGCGUAAAAUUACUUAGUUGCAUAACAAUUAUAAUAACGAUGAAUUGUAAUUAAAGCAUAAUACAUUUUAGGUGCA
Molecule: RNA transcript, 2887 nt
Organism: Drosophila gunungcola (fruit fly)
Lineage: Eukaryota; Metazoa; Arthropoda; Insecta; Diptera; Drosophilidae
Gene name: GTP-binding protein Di-Ras2
Exons: 6
Source: RefSeq, a predicted model, not a curated record